ACGAGACAAAGCCAACACAUAUGUUGUCACUCCCCACGACUAGUUUAAAAUGUUUCCAUACCUCCGAUUUUCCUCCAAACUUGCUCAAAGUUAAUUCUCCUGUUUUAAUUUUUUUUUCUUUGAUUCUUCAAGCUCCAUGUGGCACUUAAGCUACUGAAUAGUACAGCACGCACAGCAGGUGUGAUGCGUCACGCGUGCGAGACUGCGAAUGCGAGUGGACGAGACGCUGCGCAUGACACGUGAUGUGCUUUAUCAAGGGCCCGACCCGACCCGGCCCGAGGACGGUUGCGGGAAAUAUCGGCCCGACCCGGCCCGCGGGUCGGGUCGGGUCGAGUCCGGGCUCGGGCUCGGGCAGAGAAUCUAAGCUCUACUAGGGUUACAUACGUAACCUAGAGACGUUUUUGGAUGUUUAUUAUAAAGAAAAUGCUGUUCGAUGUGUCUUUAAGCUGUCACAGAUCAAGCCGGAGACAACAGGUAGUAGGCUAAAGGUUGGUAGAGAGUAUGGGAACCAUGAACAGAGGAGAUCAACGGAGGAACCUCGGGAAUCUAAAGGAUACUCUCUCAAGUGUUACGUGUGCAAUACUUUGCUGACGGAUUACUGUGAAGCAAAAGUGGAGUUAUGUCGCGAUGGAUUCUCCAAAUGUCAAAGCCAAGCAACGGAAAUAUCCAUGGGUUUCGCUGAGAUAUUAAGCAUAACUAGAAAUUGUGCUUCUACAUGUGAAGCUGGGACCGAACAUUCCUGGGCUGGAGAGACAGUAACCCAGUGCUGUGACACUGACCUUUGCAAUGCAGCAGAUGGCCUGUAUAAGACAAGCUUCCUCCUGCUGUUGUCUCCUCUGCUCUUCUACUUCCUGUUUCACUGAUUCCAGCAGCAGUUCAGAUUCUACAGCAGCAGCAGAAACUGAACGUCACACACAUUUCUAUUCUUGAAUAAACAAAUAAAGCUUGUCAAUCAUUAAAA
Long non-coding RNA from Cyprinus carpio carpio, 961 nucleotides. The record is from Ensembl. NCBI's taxonomy places the organism in Eukaryota, Metazoa, Chordata, Actinopteri, Cypriniformes, Cyprinidae.